Molecule: ribosomal RNA, 497 nt
Filed under: uncultured bacterium
Lineage: Bacteria
Description: partial 16S ribosomal RNA
Rfam family: Bacterial small subunit ribosomal RNA
Source: RNAcentral
GAUGAACGCUGGCGGUGUGCCUAAUACAUGCAAGUCGAGCGAACAGACGAGGAGCUUGCUCCUCUGACGUUAGCGGCGGACGGGUGAGUAACACGUGGAUAACCUACCUAUAAGACUGGGAUAACUUCGGGAAACCGGAGCUAAUACCGGAUAACAUGUUGAACCGCAUGGUUCAACAGUGAAAGACGGUUUUGCUGUCACUUAUAGAUGGAUCCGCGUCGCAUUAGCUAGUUGGUAAGGUAACGGCUUACCAAGGCAACGAUGCGUAGCCGACCUGAGAGGGUGAUCGGCCACACUGGAACUGAGACACGGUCCAGACUCCUACGGGAGGCAGCAGUAGGGAAUCUUCCGCAAUGGGCGAAAGCCUGACGGAGCAACGCCGCGUGAGUGAAGAAGGUCUUCGGAUCGUAAAACUCUGUUAUUAGGGAAGAACAAAUGUGUAAGUAACUAUGCACGUCUUGACGGUACCUAAUCAGAAAGCCACGGCUAACUACGUG